This is a long non-coding RNA of Salvia splendens (bonfire salvia), 1802 nucleotides long. RefSeq lists it as uncharacterized. The transcript has 2 exons. The record is from RefSeq and is a predicted model, not a curated record. Lineage: Eukaryota; Viridiplantae; Streptophyta; Magnoliopsida; Lamiales; Lamiaceae.
AUCUAUCCUCAUCUUUCUCCUCUCUCAUUGACGCCCUCUCUCUCCACGAUACUCUCUCCCUCUCUGUAAAUUUUGACAGCCUCUACAUCCUCCGUUCAACCACCAAGCCUCCACCGUGACAGCUCCGGUCACUCCACCACGGAACAUGUAGCACACACCAUCAACCCCUAGUCCCAAUUUUCAUUAGAUGUUCUCAAUUUCAGAAUUGUUUGUUAAACUCACUUCCAAAAUUGUUGAAUUUUAGAGGUGAACCGAGUGCAAGCACAAGCGAUAAGGGAAAAGGGCACCUCCAUGGUUGACUAAGCAAGUAAUAGCGUUUUUUUUUAUGUGUACAGGUACUGCCUAAACUAAAUAAUGCACAUAUGGAAUAUUCACUGAGUUGAUUAACCCAUAUACAAAAUACCUCUCAUAAUGCAUAAUAUACUCCAAAUAAUGAAUAAUACUAACGACAACAAGCACUUCUGAUUUCAAAUAAUGUGUACUUUGAAAUUCACAGAAAUAAGCCUUCCUAAUGAAUACUAUAAUGUAAAUAAUGAUAAAAACUUAACCUAUAAUGCCCAAGACAAAUAAAAAAAAUGCACAUAUUUAUAUUGCAUUCAAUAAUGGAUCAUUUUACACUUUGAAUCUUCACUGAGUCUAUUAACCAAUAUAAAAAAUAUCUCUAAUAAUGCCUAAUAAAAACCAAAUAAUGACAAUAACCUACUACAUAAUGACAAUACCUUCAAAGUUAAAGGAAUUAAAUUCUAGAACACGCGUACACUACCUGUACACGUCAAAAAAACGCUAUUACUUGCUUAGUCAACCAUGGAGGUGCCAUUUUCCCUUAUCACUUGUGCUUGCACUUGGUUCACCUAAUUUUUAAACAAUCACAUAUACAAUUUAUAAAUAAACACUUAAAGCAAAAAUAUGGAAUCCAAAAUAUCACAUAUAUCUAUCUCCCUUUUAGUAUAAAAACCUCUAUUCUCAACUUUUAAAGCUUUAAAAAAAAAUUGACUGCAUUACAUCAUCUUCAUAUAAUAAACUGACUUAGCUCGGAUAUAACUAGGGGUCAAUCCCUACACUAAAAUAAACCUCUAGGUAUCGAUUUUAAUUACAAAAAAGGUUUUCCUUAAAAUUCCAAGGGAUUAGGGAGUUAUGAAUGUUUUACUACAGCAUGCCAGUUUUGACAAAUUCUGGCGACUGUUUAACAUGAAUUUUUAAAAAUAGCAAACGUUAAUCAAAUGCUCUGAAAGUUUGCAGACAUCAUUCCAAGAUCUGAUAGUAUGCAUAACAAUUUUUAGAACAUAAAUUAUAGCAUGUUAAGGUGGCCAAAACUGAUCAGUACAGCAGCACCAGAACAACCUACAUACAAGCUAUUUUCUAUUUGUGUGUCAUUGGGUAAUUUCUCCAAACACUUCAUGUUCAACAACAAAAUUAUAUGGUUUUAGUCCAAUUAUGAUCCAUCUCCAACAAUUGAAAUCCCCAAUUCAAAGAACUCUAAUAUUCGACCAAACAAAAAGAAUCACAUCAAAUUAACAUCACUACUAUACUCAGAAACAUGAUUGAAGAGGUUAUGGAGGAAUCUAAACUAUAAUUUCAACUAUUUUCCAAAGAUAAGUGGAGGUGGGUUUGCAACCUAAGCUCCAAAAUCGAGAGGAAGAAGGGGGAAUUGAAAGCUUGGAUUGAUGGAGUGUAUUACAUGUUUCACGGUGGAGCGGUCGGAGGAGUCGCGGUGGCUGUAAUAUCCCAACCUUAGAAGUAUUAGAAAUUAGAGAUUAGGAUUUAUAUUUUAGUUAGUGGUUUUAUAUGUAUAUAUUUUUGUU